Molecule: long non-coding RNA, 1188 nt
Organism: Nicotiana tabacum (common tobacco)
Lineage: Eukaryota; Viridiplantae; Streptophyta; Magnoliopsida; Solanales; Solanaceae
Source: RefSeq, a predicted model, not a curated record
UCUGAACCAAAUUCAUGACCCUCUUAGUUCUUCUUUUAUCUUCUAUUCCCUUUCUUUUCAUUUUUACCUUUAAUUAAUACCUUUUAACUACAUAACAUUUAGCACUACUAUUUCCAAGCUGGAAAAUCAUCUGGAGUUGUGCACAAGACAAUUUGAUAAAAGAGUGUGCUGUAAUGAGAAGACCACGCGUAGUAUGUGUAAAGUAGCAAGUUUCCAUGAGUUCUCCUCGUGCUUAUGCAUAAGGCCUUCUGAUGAAUGUAUGGCUGAUACCUUUUUCUCUUUUCACUUUCAUCCUGACCUACAGAUCAAGAUAAUCUAUAUAUUUUGUAUUACAAUCAGUGGCAUACGUAAAAUUUUGCAUAAGAGCAUUGUCGAUAUGGUCUAUUAUCGGCUUGCGUUAUAAUUGAAAUUGAAUUAGAGAUUGUGAUAAUUUGAGUCUUUAGUUCAUGUUACAAAUUGAUAUUUACUUUGUAAUAUUCUCAAGCCACGUCAACCUAUUGUUUACAUACAUCCAUAUAUAUUUAUUUUGUGAGAAAAUGUUGUUUAUGUACAUAUAAAAGAAAAAUCUUAGCAAAGUGAUGUCGCAUGAUACCCCUAAUCUCCUCCACUUGUUGAGAUCGAAUUCCAAAAAAUUACGAAUCUCUUACGAUUCGAAAACCAAGUCAGAGACUACUACACGCAUACAGAAAAUACCUCAACAAGUGGUGGACAUGGAAGAGAUUUUUUUUGCAAAUGCCAUUCGUUUUCCAAGAUAUAAAUAGGAGAAUUUGACCAUAUCUUGCAACAAGUUGAGUUGGCUUGGACGUGUAUAGGCUCAUAUCUCAAAGCUAGGAGGAUGUGAAGGCGAUGACGAUGACGAUGCCGAUGAUGAUGAUGCGUCAAAGGUGGCACCAGCUGCAUGAUGUUGUAAUGCUAGUUCCUACAGCAACAUAUAUAUAUAGUAAUACAUAUAGCUAGGUUCCCAUGUUUCUUUGCUGCAGAUGUUGCUUUAUAGCGAAUUAACAAUGUUGACAUCUAAAAGAGAGACAUGUAGUGAAGUGAGUUACGUCUGUAGAGAAGGAAUUAAGAGAGCAAUGCAUGAGAGAUAUCUUCAUGUUUUCUACUUACAGUAAUAUAUCUGUGUAUCACACUAUUAUCCAUGCCAUUAAUAAAUGAUGAUGGAGUAUUAAUUGAGUGGUAAACCUCGUA